Molecule: ribosomal RNA, 524 nt
Filed under: uncultured bacterium
Lineage: Bacteria
Description: bacterial SSU rRNA
Rfam family: Bacterial small subunit ribosomal RNA
Source: RNAcentral
GGCUUAGGACGAACGCUGGCGGCGUGCCUAAUACAUGCAAGUCGAACGGUCUUUCUAUGGAAGCUUGCUUCCACUGAGAAGAUAGUGGCGAACGGGUGAGUAACACGUGGGUAACCUGCCCAUAAGAGGGGGGAUAACAUCCGGAAACGGGUGCUAAUACCGCAUAGUUUCUUGAUCGCAUGAUCGGGAAAGGAAAGACGGCCUUUGUGCUGUCGCUUAUGGAUGGACCCGCGGCGUAUUAGUUAGUUGGUGAGGUAACGGCUCACCAAGACGAUGAUACGUAGCCGACCUGAGAGGGUGAUCGGCCACAUUGGGACUGAGACACGGCCCAAACUCCUACGGGAGGCAGCAGUAGGGAAUCUUCCGCAAUGGACGAAAGUCUGACGGAGCAACGCCGCGUGAGUGAAGAAAGGUUUUCGGAUCGUAAAACUCUGUUGUCAGAGAAGAACAAGUUGGAGAGUAACUGCUCCAGCCUUGACGGUAUCUGACCAGAAAGCCACGGCUAACUACGUGCCAGCAGCGGC